GACGAACGCUGGCGGCGUGCUUAACACAUGCAAGUCGAACGGAAAGGCCUCUUUCGGGGGGUACUCGAGUGGCGAACGGGUGAGUAACACGUGAGUAACCUGCCCUUGACUUUGGGAUAACUUCAGGAAACUGGGGCUAAUACCGGAUAGGAGCUCCUGCUGCAUGGUGGGGGUUGGAAAGUUUCGGCGGUUGGGGAUGGACUCGCGGCUUAUCAGCUUGUUGGUGGGGUAUUGGCUUACCAAGGCUUUGCCGGGUAGCCGGCCUGAGAGGGUGAGCGGCCACAUUGGGACUGAGAUACGGCCCAGACUCCUACGGGAGGCAGCAGUGGGGAAUAUUGCACAAUGGGUGGAAGCCUGAUGCAGCAACGCCGUGUGCGGGAUGACGGCCUUCGGGUUGUAAACCGCUUUCGCUCAUGACGAAGCUUUGUGUGACGGUAGUGGGUAAAGAAGCACCGGCUAACUACGUG
RNAcentral lists this ribosomal RNA (467 nucleotides) under uncultured bacterium. RNAcentral's name for it is "partial 16S ribosomal RNA". It matches the Rfam family "Bacterial small subunit ribosomal RNA", at positions 28 to 507 of the family's 1533-position model. The record is from RNAcentral.